This 257-nucleotide ribosomal RNA is filed under the name uncultured bacterium. RNAcentral's name for it is "partial 16S ribosomal RNA". It matches the Rfam family "Bacterial small subunit ribosomal RNA", at positions 524 to 776 of the family's 1533-position model. The record is from RNAcentral.
UACAGAGACCUCAAGCGUUAUCCGGAAUUACUGGGCGUAAAGCGUACCGAUAGGUGGUUUGGAAAGUCAGAAGUGAAAUCUUAAGGCUUAACUUUAAGAAUGUCUUCUGAAACUUCUAAACUAGAGGGGCAAAGAGGGAGCUGGAACGAACGGUGUAGCAGUGAAAUGCGUUGAUAUCGUUCGGAACACCAAUAGCGAAGGCAGGCUCCUGGGUGCCACCUGACACUGCUAGGACGAGAGCGUGGGGAGCGAAUGGG